UGGGGGAUCUUGCGCUAAUGCGCGAAAGCGUGACGCAGCGACGCCGCGUGGGGGAUGAAGGCCCUCGGGUUGUAAACCCCUUUCGGCAGGGACGAAGGGAAACUGACGGUACCUGCAGAAGAAGUCCCGGCUAACUACGUGCCAGCAGCCGCGGUAACACGUAGGGGACGAGCGUUGUCCGGAUUCAUUGGGCGUAAAGCGCGCGUAGGCGGCUCGGAAAGUCGGGCGUGAAAUGCCGGGGCUCAACCCCGGGACUGCGUCCGAUACUUCCGAGCUGGAGGUAGGUAGGGGAGAUCGGAAUUCCUGGUGUAGCGGUGAGAUGCGCAGAUAUCAGGAGGAACACCGGUGGCGAAGGCGGAUCUCUGGGCCUUACCUGACGCUGAGGCGCGAAAGCUAGGGGAGCGAACA
RNAcentral lists this ribosomal RNA (408 nucleotides) under uncultured soil bacterium. Its description in RNAcentral is "bacterial SSU rRNA". It matches the Rfam family "Bacterial small subunit ribosomal RNA", at positions 355 to 774 of the family's 1533-position model. The record is from RNAcentral.